UACGGAGGUGGCAAGCGUUCUUCUGCUUCAUGGGGCGUAAAGGGCGAGUAGGCGGCCUGGCAAGUCAGAGGUGAAAGCCCUCGGCUCAACCGAGGAACUGCCUCUGAAACUGGCUAGCUCGAGGCCGGGAGAGGGUGGCGGAAUUCCUGGUGUAGCGGUGAAAUGCGUAGAUAUCAGGAGGAACACCCGUGGCGUAGGCGGCCCCCCGGACCCGUUCUGACGCUGAGGCGAGAAAGCGUGGGGAGCAAUCAGG
RNAcentral lists this ribosomal RNA (253 nucleotides) under uncultured bacterium. RNAcentral describes it as "partial 16S ribosomal RNA". It matches the Rfam family "Bacterial small subunit ribosomal RNA", at positions 524 to 776 of the family's 1533-position model. The record is from RNAcentral.